Molecule: non-coding RNA, 2349 nt
Organism: Drosophila melanogaster (fruit fly)
Lineage: Eukaryota; Metazoa; Arthropoda; Insecta; Diptera; Drosophilidae
Source: Ensembl
AUUUUUCAAGUUGUUUAUUUCUAAUCAUAAUUUUAAUUAACAAUUAGACACAAUUUAAAGCAUAGCGAUCACAAUUUGAAUUGGUAACCUAACAUUUGAAGAUUCCCUGUCGGAGUGGCCCAUUGGGGGUCACUGGAAAAUCGAGCGAGUCUAGGGCGACUACGAGGCACUGCGGCUAGAACUAUGAGUAUGGCUAAAACUAGCUAAGCUAAGACCUGUUUUAAGACUAAAGCCCCCCGACCUAGGCCUCCAGCCCCCGGGUGUCCUUCAAUGGCUCCAGGGGCUGCAGGUUGACCGUCUUGUAGCCUCGAUCCCGCCGGAACCAGAGCCAGUUGUCCCCGUUGAAAUAGUCCUCGAUGUGCUCCAGGCUGCGGCCCUUCGUCUCCGGCUGGAAAAGGCACAUAAAGGCAGUGAGCAGGAAACUGGACACGCCGAAGACCAGGAACACGCCGCGCAUCUUGAGCAUGGCCUGCAAAGCGGGAAACUUCUUCGCGAAGAUGAACAGAGCGACGUUCAUGGAGGCAAACACUCCGCCGGCAGUCCGUCCGCGUAUCCUAGCCGGGAAGAGCUCGCCGAUCAUAAUGCCGGGCAUCACCAUCAGAGCCGUGUUGAAGAUGAUGUAGCCCAAGAGACAGCCGGCACCAACGAAUACGUCGUACGACAUUUUCGGUUGAUCGAAUCUGGCAUACUGAUAGACACUGAGCACCAGGCAGAACAAGCCGGAGCCGAUUCCCGACACUAUCAUGAUCCUGCGGCGGCGAACGAAGAUCAGGACUACGCAGAAGACCAUGCAGCAGAUCACCCGGACAACUGCCGUCGCAAUGGCCGCCUGCUUGGAGUCGAACUCCGCUCCGAACUCCGAGAUCAUGUCCACGGCAUAGAAGAUCACGAUGAACGUGCCGGAGAACAUCUGCAGCAGCGAGAACACGAUCACAAUGACCAGCGGCUUGAUGGCCACGCGCUGGCAGCACAGCUGGAAGAUGUUCUCGUUCGUCUUGGUGGUCACCCGCUCCUUGGCCAGCCUCUGCUUCAUAUCAUUCAGCUCCUUCUGCGCACUGAUCUCGCUGCCCCGCAGGAACGAGAGGGCCUGCAGCGCACGCUUCUCGUGGCCAUUGCGGAGUAGCCAGGCCGGAGUCUCCGGUAUAAACGAGAUAGACACCAUGGACAGCAGGGGCAGCACGUUGGCGCACCACGCAACACUACGCCAGUACAUCAUGGAGCCCAGGGAGUAGACCAUUAGGAUGCCGCUUGAGUAGGCCACAUAGGGCGCGCCGAUCAGCAGACUCCGCAGAUUGGGUUCCGCCGUUUCCGCAAUGUACACCUUCGAGAAGGUAAAAUAAAAUAAUGAAUGAAGGCCAAAAUAAACUUUCGCCAGCAAAACAAUUUGAUCUAUUCGAGGGUCACGGAAGCAACAUCAACAUCUUAAUCUGUGGGAACUCUUGGACGGCAAUCAUAAAAUCGUAAAUCACGUCAAGAAUCCGGAACUACUACGCGUAUACUGUGUGCGCCUAAUGCAAAUGAUGCGCUGGCCAUUUAAAGUCCCGGCAGCGAUGACGCCGCCGACGAUGAUAAAUAUCGUUAUCACUUUGGCCGCAAGAUAAGUCACGGACAUAUCCAUAAGAUGCUCGUAAAUAAACAGCGCCGGCUGAGACGCUGGAGACAAUGGAGGCGACCAGAGGAGCCGGGACAAUGGAAUACGCAGCGUUAAGUGGCCAAUUGACAAUCUGUCCACCUGCCACGACUGCUCUUUUGUAUUCCCAGUGGGGCAGCGCCAUUUGGGGGAGUUCAAGGCUCCGCCGAUUACGGUUAAUGGGUCACUCGAACAAUCCGGUUCCGCGUUGUCCGGGUGUUUCGGGUGAUCCGUGUGAACGAACCCCUGGCCAGUGGCAUUGAGUUACUCACCUGUCCGGGUCCACCCAGAAUUCCGGUGGCGAAUCCGCACAGGAAGCGUGCAAAGAUCACCACCUUGAUGCUCUUGGCGAUCGCCAAGGUGCUCCAUCCCAGGAGGAGGGGAAUCACAGAGAGAAUCAGGGUCCUACGGCGACCCAAAUAGUCCGCCAGAGGUCCCGACAGCAGGGAUCCAAAUGGUGUGGCCAGGCUAUGGACACUUGCUGUGGGAAUGAGCAGGAAUUAAUAAGGUGUUUUGAGCUUGAUAUCACCUGUUUGAACGCACCUAUCCAGGAGCCCGUCUCUACAUCAAUGGGUAUCUCCGUGGAGUUGUUAUCCAUCAGCUGGGGCAACAGGAUGGCCGAGAAUCCAAUGGGCAUGCCGCAUCCAGCGGAAAGUAAGAGUACAGCACAGGUGGCCAGAAUCUAGAAGGGAACAUAAUAAAAUUCGAUAUACAAUUGG